CGAAAAUCUUCAAAACCUUGUGCUUUUUAUACAAUAUGUAUGUUCAAUUGCAAUACUUGCUGUGGGUUUAUACAGAAAUACUAAAGACUUCAAAGUGGAUCUCGCCCUAUUGAAAUCAUGCGGUUUUUUUAUAAUAGUCUUAUUCCAACCAUUUCUGUAUUGUUACUUUGGAGAUAUGGUUACUAGAGAGGUUGAGAAUGUAAAAAUGGCUUUAUACGAAAGUGAUUGGAUCGGUAGUCGAUUAAGAUAUCAGCGGCUUAUGCUCCUAAC
Agrilus planipennis (emerald ash borer) is the source of this 270-nucleotide long non-coding RNA. RefSeq lists it as uncharacterized. NCBI's taxonomy places the organism in Eukaryota, Metazoa, Arthropoda, Insecta, Coleoptera, Buprestidae. The transcript is spliced from 3 exons. The record is from RefSeq and is a predicted model, not a curated record.